UACUAGAGUAGCACUCGCAUAUCAAUAAGCGGAGGAAAAGAAACUAACAAGGAUUCCCCUAGUAACGGCGAGUGAAGCGGGAAGAGCUCAAAUUUGAAAUCUUAAAGGGUUUCCCUUUACGAAUUGUAGUUUAAAGAAGUGUUUUCUGUCGAGGUUUGGGUAAAAGUUCUUUGGAAUAGGACAUCAUAGAGGGUGAGAAUCCCGUAUUUGACCUUUACUUUCAACUUUGUGAUACACUUUCAAAGAGUCGGAUUGUUUGGGAAUGCAGUCCAAAAUGGGUGGUAAAUUUCAUCUAAAGCUAAAUAUUGGCGAGAGACCGAUAGCGAACAAGUACCGUGAGGGAAAGAUGAAAAGAACUUUGAAAAGAGAGUUAAACAGUACGUGAAAUUGUCAAAAGGGAAGCGUUUGACGCCAGUGUUGUUUUUCUGAAAAUCAAUUAAAGAACUGUUUAUGCUAAGCUGUUUAGACUUUAUCAGCUAUCUGUUUAGUUUUGAGCUUUUCUUUAAUGCACUUUUCAGUUAACAAGUCAACAUCAAUUUCUUUUGCUGUAAAAAAGCUUGAGGAAGGUGGCUUGAGAUUCGUCUUAAGUGUUUAUAGCCUCUUGCCUAUGCAGUCGGGGAGAUUGAGGUCUGCAGCGUAGAUCCUUCGGGGCUAAAUGCAUUUGUGCUAAGUUAUAGCAUUUUAUAGACAACUUGUUGACUAUGAUUUGUCUUGUAGCUUACUCGCUUAUGUUAUUUAUACCUACGCUUAGGAUGUUGAGCGCAUGUCUCUCUCU
Molecule: ribosomal RNA, 775 nt
Filed under: uncultured Neocallimastigales
Lineage: Eukaryota; Fungi; Neocallimastigomycota; Neocallimastigomycetes; Neocallimastigales
Description: partial large subunit ribosomal RNA
Rfam family: Eukaryotic large subunit ribosomal RNA
Source: RNAcentral